This 355-nucleotide unclassified non-coding RNA is filed under the name soil metagenome. RNAcentral's name for it is "partial contains 5.8S ribosomal RNA, internal transcribed spacer 2, and large subunit ribosomal RNA". The stretch from base 1 to 120 matches the Rfam family "5.8S ribosomal RNA", at positions 35 to 154 of the family's 154-position model. The record is from RNAcentral.
GAUGAAGAACGCAGUGAAAUGCGAUAAGUAAUGUGAAUUGCAGAAUUCAGUGAAUCAUCGAAUCUUUGAACGCACAUUGCGCCCGCCAGUAUUCUGGCGGGCAUGCCUGUUCGAGCGUCAUUUCAACCACUCAGGCCCUGGUGCCUGGCGUCGGGGUUUCUUGCUUCGGUAAAAUCCCCUAGAAUCAGUGGCGGACCCGCCGCGGCUCCGAGCGUAGUAGUAAAAUAUCUCGCUAUGGAGGCCCGUGGGGGGAUUACCGGCCGUAAAACCUCUUCUUUACUGAAGAACUUCUCAAGGUUGACCUCGGAUCAGGUAGGAAUACCCGCUGAACUUAAGCAUAUCAAUAAGCGGAGGA